This is a long non-coding RNA of Centrocercus urophasianus (Greater sage-grouse), 1068 nucleotides long. RefSeq lists it as uncharacterized. The transcript has 3 exons. NCBI's taxonomy places the organism in Eukaryota, Metazoa, Chordata, Aves, Galliformes, Phasianidae. The record is from RefSeq and is a predicted model, not a curated record.
UAACUAAUAAAUAGUUGGCUACUUUCAUCAAAAUUUUAUCUCAGGUGAUCAGAUACUGCUCUGCCCAACACUGCGUGAUGAGAUUCUCUAAGAGAUACGCGGUCUUACCUCACCAACAAGCAUCUCAUAAAUGAGCACACCCAGUCCCCACCAGUCUACUGCCCGAGUGUAUGAGAUGUCUGUGAGGACUUCUGGAGCCAGAAAUUCAGGAGUACCACAGAAGGUGUUUGUGCGGUCUCCAAAACCUAUUCCUGCAGGACAAGAACACUCUUGUCAAAUCCAGCACAUGCUUCUAAAUAGAUCUCAUGCAGUCUCAUCUUCUGAAAGCAAUAGAUUUCCUCUUGAUGAUUUGUUGUUGUCAACCAUGCAAGGGCUCUCAUCAGUGCUUGCAAAUACUAAUGAGAAUGUAUGAUACCUGAGAUCCCCAACGACUCUGAAUAGUAAUUCAGACAAUGCUUAAACAAGCAACUCAAUCAAGAAAACCUGCAGAUUCCACUGUUCAUUUACUUAAGUACAUAUCCUGUAGCAUCCUAUGUCCUUGCUUCUUUCAGCAGAGAAGGACACUCUAAACUGCUUCACAAGAUACCUGAAGAGCAAAGGGCACUCUUUCCAAGUUCAUCAUGGGCAGACAGGUCCCUGUAAGCAAAGAAGGGGGUGAAGAAAAUGGUGGAUGAAAUCUGAGGACUGCCAUCCAACAGACUCUUUUGCAUGAGGCAGAAACCAGAUGUUCAUAAAAAGAAAAUUGGAGUCCCAAGACUACGCAGGCUGUGUAAAACCUAGCAAAGAGGAACAGUUAUCAGGAAAAAUAUAUGAGAACCAAGUUAAACACUUACAAUGCCUGGAAACUAGGCUAAUUGUAACUCACUGUGCUGUACGCUCUGCAAAAACAUCUUCAUGUAUGCGCAUCAUAAGAUCACCUCCUGGAGUGUAUUCCAUCACAAAACAAGCAUGAUGAGGUGUCUGGAAACAUGCAAACAUGUUCACAAGGAAUGGAUGAUCAGAAGAAUUGACCACCUCAAAUAUUCGCUUCUCACAGUUCAAGCUGCCAGGAUUCAAAGAAUUAAAAUG